UAUGUAGGAAAACAUGGAGACAGAAUGACUAAAUUAAAUGAGCAUUAAAAGGACACAAUUGAAAUUAUGAAAGAGUGUAUGUAGCAAUCAGCACACACUGCAAAACAUGUAAAAGUGGUGUGUUAGUCAUGUAAUACAGUCAAAUUUAUACUUAGCCUAUCAUUGUGUCAAACACCUGUGGUUCUGUUGCAUCCUCUGGUGAUCUGAGUAGGUGUUAUUUGACUGUUCUCAAGCUUGUUUGGCAGAGGGUAUCCUGAUCUGCUUAUAUAUUGUGAAUAUUUGGUAAUGUAACACCCUAAUAAUAUAUGCUUGUUCAGGUUAAUACUUGCCUUUCUGUAUUUUGUUUUGCAUAAAUUUACUUUUAUAUGUAUUUGCCUGUAGAUUCA
Pelobates cultripes (western spadefoot toad) is the source of this 386-nucleotide non-coding RNA. The record is from the annotation of a GenBank genome assembly. Lineage: Eukaryota; Metazoa; Chordata; Amphibia; Anura; Pelobatidae.